UGUCCUGGGAAAGUCUUUAGAAAACCAUGUCAGCAAGCUCAGAGGCUGAGUUUUCAGGGUGACACCCAGGUUCCUGUUCAGUAGGAUAAGUGGAGGUGAAGGAGCUGUGCCCGGCUGGUGGCCUUGGCAGAUGAGCACACCUUUAGAACAGCAGUCCUUGCCCAAGAGUGGCUCGUCCCAGCUGCCCACUGCUUUCAUUCCAGGGAAGGAAGCAUACAGAGACUGAUGGAUGGUGGUAACAGGACUUCAUGAUCUUGCAGAGCAAGACAGAUCUCCAUGUUUUCAUUGUGUGACUGUCAAAAGAAGAGUUCUGAUGGAUCCCAUUGUAAAACACUCCCAAAGCACAAAUGCCAUUGAAAACAAAAUUUGGUGGGAGUGUGUUUUUGACUGAUGAAGAUUCAGAGUAGCUGAUAUUUACCCUGAGGAAUUUACUGCUGAUUUACCUGAACUGAUUCUUUGGCUUUACAGCUGUGUUGGAGCAGUCACAAGUUACCUGCAGGCUCCUGAUGCUCUGUUAAUCCAUUUUAGAAGGGAAAAGAGGGAAAAGAAGCCACAUGAGCCAAGCAUGUCCGUGAAUGUAAUGCUGGAGAGUAUAAAAAUACUGCAGGAUAUUUUUAAUCCAGUUUCUGGUUUUACAAAUCGUGUGGUGUUUGAACAAAAGUGUUUGAAAAGACAAGUGUUACAGGCCAAGGGACCAUGCAAGAAUGGAUAGCUAUCCUAAUUAAUCCAUGCAUUAACUUGUAACUAGCAGUUUGUUUAAUGUCCAAAAAGCUGCUUAUACAGAAAUCUGUGGUGACAGGCACCAGUUAGCUUUGCAGACUCUUCCUGCUCUCAGCUUGAGAGUUUAAAACAGGAUUAGCAGGAUAGUACAACAGGUAGCACAAGAAUAAUCCUCCUUUGACUCAAUGGUGCAGAUAAUAACCAGAAGGUAAGGUAUCUCACUUAGUUUUUGUUGAUAUGAAUGGCAAAAAUAUUUAGAGAGUUUUUUCCCAUACAAGCAUUUGGUGCCAGUAACCCUCCUUUUUUAUUAUAUUAGUUUUGAACUUUG
Parus major (Great Tit) is the source of this 1048-nucleotide long non-coding RNA. RefSeq lists it as uncharacterized. The transcript has 3 exons. The record is from RefSeq and is a predicted model, not a curated record. NCBI's taxonomy places the organism in Eukaryota, Metazoa, Chordata, Aves, Passeriformes, Paridae.